AGUAAAAUGGCUGAAGAAGGUGAUAAAUUGUAAGUUUAUUUAUGGAAGAUAUUCCUUUUACUA
RNAcentral lists this transfer RNA (63 nucleotides) under Ochthebius himalayae. RNAcentral's name for it is "tRNA-Tyr". The record is from RNAcentral. Lineage: Eukaryota; Metazoa; Arthropoda; Insecta; Coleoptera; Hydraenidae.